Molecule: ribosomal RNA, 118 nt
Filed under: Candidatus Roizmanbacteria bacterium RIFCSPHIGHO2_01_FULL_39_8
Lineage: Bacteria; Candidatus Roizmaniibacteriota
Also listed under: 1 other name
Source: RNAcentral
UCUGGUUACUGGAGCGACUUGGUACCACCCUUUCUCAUCCCGAACAAGGAAGUGAAACGAGUCAGCGCCAAUGAUACUUGUCAGCCUAGCUGACUGGGAAAGUAGGUCGUAGCCAGGG